UUUAGACUGAUCAUUACUGGGUACAUUAUUGUUUAAACGAAACUAUUUUAUCUUAUUUUUGUAAAAACGGGGUCUUGCACCGAACACAGUAGUUCACACCUGUAAUCCCAGUGCUUUAAGAGGCCGAGGUGGGAGAGUUGUGUGAGCCCAGGAGUUUGAGACCAGCCUGGGGAGCAUAAUGAGACCCUAUCUCUACAAAAAAAAUUUUCAAAUGACUAAGUGUGGUGGCACGUGUCUACAGUCCUAGCUACUUGGGAGGCUGAGACAAGAGAAUACUUGAGCCCAGAAGUUGGAGGUUGCAGUGAGCCGGGGUCAGGCCACUGCAACCUGGGCGACAAAAUAAGACCCUCUCUCAAAGGCAAAAACAAAAACAGGAUCUUGCUCUGUAGCUCUGGCUGGUUAUGAACUCAUGACCAAGCGAUCCUCCUGCCUCAGCCUCCUGAGUAGCUGGGAUUACAAGCACGUACCACUGUAUUGGCAAAACUAUUUUAUUAAAAGUGAAAAAUGAGGUGGGGUACAGCGGCUCAUGGCUGUAAUCAUUUGAGAUUAGCCUGGGCAGCAUAAUGAGACCUUGUCUCUACAAAAAGAUCAAAAACUUAGCUGGGCAUGGUGGUGCGUGCCUGUAAUCCCAGCUACUCAGGAGUCUGAGGGGGGGAGGACCGCUUGAGCCCAGUAAGUUGAGGCUGCAGUGAGCUAUGAUUUUGCCACUGCACUCCAGCAUGAGUGACAGAGCGAGACUCUGUCUCAAAAAACAGAAAAGUGAAAAAUGGCUUUGUGGUAGACCACAAGUAUAUCUGCCACACCUGGCUUGUGGCCACAGGUCUCUUUGGGGAGAUUGUGAGGAAAAUGCCAGGAUGAAUCUGUGCUGUUUUUACAGGGCCCUCCUUAAGGGUGCAUGCCCCACCUCGUUCAGGGGCCCCUGAGUUUGCAAACUGAUUUUUAUCUAGAAAAUUGGUGAGGGUUUCCUCUCUGUUGCAGUAGAGUCUCUGUCAGUUGGACCUCACACUCUCUUGUUAUAUAGGUGGGACUCUACUGGCCUCUCCAUCUAUUUUGGUACUAGGGGUCUGGUGAUCGGGUCCCUAUUGCUAAAGAUUCCUGCAGGUUGCUAAAGAUCCCUCCAGGUCUGACCAUUCAGAUAACCUGUAAAUCCUGCAUUCCCAGUCUGUGCUCCUCUCUCUCCUCUGGCAGCUCAACACUGCUGCAUGAGCCACUGCACCCAGCCUGUGUGUAUUUAUUUUUUGAGAUGGAGUCUUGCUCUCCUGAGUAGCUGGGAUUACAGGCACCCGCCAUCAUGCCCAGCUACUUUUUGUAUUUUUGUAGGGAUGGGGUUUCACCAUGUUGGCCAGUCUGAUCUUGAACUCCUGACCUCAGGUGAUCCACCUGCUUCGGCCUCCCAAAAUGCUGGGAUUACAGGCGCGGGCCACCGCGCCCGGCCUCAACAUUUAUUUUGAAUGAAUAAAAAUAAAUACAUCUUCUUAAGGCUUUGGAUUCUUUCCUCUGUGUUAUAUCAGGGAACUUUUGGCACCUUAACUGCAUUGAGUGGGAUCCAGUUUUGUUGUGGAGUCUCGCUCUGUCGCCUAGGCUGGAGUGCAGUGGAGCAAUCUCGGCUCACUGCAAGCUCCGCCUCCCGGGUUCACGCCAUGCUCUUGCCUCAGCCUCUGGAGUAGCUGGGACUACAGUCGCCCGCCACCACACCUGGCUAAUUUUUUUGUGUUUUUAGUAGAGACGGGAUUUCACUGUGUUAGCCAGGAUGGUCUCGAUCUCCUGACCUCGUGAUCCGCCCGCCUCGGCCUCCCAAAGUGCUGGGAUUACAGGAGUGAGCCACCGCGCCCGGCUGGGAUCCAGUUUUUAUUCAGCCAACCAAAUAGACGUGUGGAACAACCCCCAACAGCUUGAGCUGGUGCAUGGAAUCCAAAUCCUUGCUAAGUGCACCCAUAUUGAUAAAUUCAGCCCAAUAUAAACUUAUGUUCUUAUCUCCUUGGUCUAGGACUUCAGUCUGUUCCCACACAUAUUCUCUAUAUUUUGGC
Molecule: long non-coding RNA, 2027 nt
Filed under: Homo sapiens (human)
Lineage: Eukaryota; Metazoa; Chordata; Mammalia; Primates; Hominidae
Description: HSALNT0054204
Source: RNAcentral